RNAcentral lists this ribosomal RNA (253 nucleotides) under uncultured Aquicella sp. RNAcentral describes it as "partial 16S ribosomal RNA". It matches the Rfam family "Bacterial small subunit ribosomal RNA", at positions 524 to 776 of the family's 1533-position model. The record is from RNAcentral. Lineage: Bacteria; Pseudomonadati; Pseudomonadota; Gammaproteobacteria; Legionellales; Coxiellaceae.
UACAGAGGGUGCAAGCGUUAAUCGGAUUUACUGGGCGUAAAGGGCGCGUAGGCGGACUUAUGAGUGUGAUGUGAAAGCCCCGGGCUUAACCUGGGAAGUGCAUCGCAAACGAUAAGACUAGAGUAGAUGAGAGGGUGAUGGAAUUUCCGGUGUAGCGGUGAAAUGCGUAGAGAUCGGAAGGAACGUCAAUGGCGAAGGCAGUCACCUGGCAUCAUACUGACGCUGAGGCGCGAAAGCGUGGGGAUCGAACAGG